Molecule: long non-coding RNA, 3318 nt
Filed under: Populus trichocarpa (black cottonwood)
Lineage: Eukaryota; Viridiplantae; Streptophyta; Magnoliopsida; Malpighiales; Salicaceae
Description: long non-coding RNA (PTRI_LNC003508)
Source: RNAcentral
GAGUCGAGAAUUAAGGUUCUUUCAUUUAGGGAUUUUUUAAACGAGAGAAGGGAAAAAGAAUAUUGAAGUGAAAACUUACGAGAUAAUAUUUAGUUUAAGUGAAAACUAAAGAAUGUAGAAAACAUGCCAGCGAUGAAGUAUCCAAGUCAUGACAUAACCAUGCAAUAUUGCAAAGAAAGAAUAAAGAAAUGAGAGAACAAAAUGGUCAUCUCUUACCCCAUUUCAUGCCAGGCUACAUGUUGAAAGCUUCCAACACUGCGCGAAUCUCUCCAUUUGUUUCAAUGGCUCAUCAUACUUGAUUGAAACCAUGUAGCCCAGGACAACGACUAAUUUCAAAUAAUUGACUUGGUUGAAGCAAAAAAGCAUAGACUACAUGAAACCCAUCCAAGUUAGCAUUAUCCUAGUUCCAUCAAUGCCAUCCUACCUCCAUUUUAUGUAGAGUGUAGGAAACCAAGAGAGAAACAACAAUCUUGCUACUUCACAAGAAUUGAAUUACCUAAGGAUCAAUUAUAUGAAAUUAAAGGGCAUAUAAACUGGCCAUGAUCAUCGAAAUAGCCUUACCUCAUAUGAAGAUCUAUUGACUUGGAGAAUGCAGCACUAACUUUCCAAUUGACUCAUCAACACUGAAAGAAAAACACUAACUACAUUUGAACUCUUCAAGAAUUAAGCCCAGUGGUCUUAUGGAUAGAUACUUAAAAAAGUCAAUCUUCUAGACUUCAUUUAUCCCCGGGGCUAAUCUUACGGGCACUUCACUCUCCUAGUUAAUAACUAUCAUUCAAGAAACUAAAAAAUAGUGAUUAUUAAAAAAUUUAGAGAGAGAUUUUAUAAGUGAGCUGUAUACCAGUAAAUAAAAAUCUCCAAUAACAAUAGAAAAACUUGAUUCUGCAAUUAAGCAAACCAUUCCUCCUAUAUUAAUCCCUCUCAAUAAUCCAUGCUCGUACUCUUCCCUCUCAAAGCAGAGACAAUAAGACAAAUGGAGGGAGAGCAACAUGAAACUAUGCAGCUCAAUAUGAUAAAGAAACUAGCUUCACUAGGUAUGAUGGUGUCAACAAAAAGAAAACAGUAAUAACAACCAUGUAUCUUAACAAGAAUACCCAACAUGAUCUUAAUCCUAAGGGGUGUAGCUCAACUGAUUAAGCUCUGGGUUUGCUUCCCAGAGAUUAUUACCAAUUCGAGACAAACCUCAGAGCCACUGGAGGCUUACAUGGUCCUUAACUUUAGGGCCCGUGGGAUUAGUCGAGGUGUGCACAAGCUAGCCCAGACAUCCACGUUAAUCUAAAAAAAAUAGAAUACCCAACAUGAAAAAGACAUGUGAGACUGUUGCGCCCUGAAUAUAACCUAUUUCAAUAAUUAAGCCAAGCAAUCAUGUAGACAACUACAAAGUGACUAGACCAAGCAAGUCAUAUUAUCAGUACAUAAGAAACCACAAAAUUAUUACCUCAGAUGCCUACUUUGUUUUAUCUGUAUUAAGCUAUUCCAAGCAUCAGUCUUUCUCCACUUUUGACUCUUUCUUUGCCCAACGCAUUCAUAAAAAUAUUGCCUAUAAGAGUGAAAGCCUUACAAACACAGUAAUAAAAGACUAUUUGCCGUAGAAAAAAAGUGAAGUGAAAUAUGUACAAGGCCAGAGUUAUACAUGCACACAAAUACAAGUUCUGUAUUUUGGUUCAAUUUCAAAGUUCAAGUAAAACACAAAAUAUUUUUGUUCAUUAUAAUAGGAUUUUGAGGUUCAUCCUCUUAACCUCCAUAAAUCAUUAAUGGCAUUUCAAGUUCUUUUCCCAUGCAAGUGUCUCAGCAGCAGGUAUUAAAAAUGAAAAAGAACAGCCACAACAAAAUUGAACUACAAUUCUGUGAGAUAAGGGAACCACCUGCUCCAAACUUUUCAAGGUAAAGAUAAUGGAAAGAACAUAUAACAAUGAUGAUCAACUGAAAUAAAGAAGGAAAAAGAAAUGAUACAUAUUUUAGCAUUCAAAAUACGUUCCUGAUCGACAUCCCAAUCAAAAAGGAUUUCUAGUAUAUUUAGCUGAAACAGGAUUUUAAAGGUUGCCUAGAAGAUAAACAAAAAAUUAUCCUAACUGUAUUGCAUUCUACAAAUAAAUUUAUCAUUCAAUAACAUCUCCUCAUCCAAGCUUUAGUUUUCUCUAAAAUACUCUCCAUUGUGUUCUUAAUUUUUUUGCAAGUUUCCACUCCAAGAAAGUCGGAGUAUUAGGAGCAUUAAAUUUGAAUCACAUUAUUAGUCUCAUUUAAAUUGCAAAUGACAAAAUCAAGGUGAGGGGCCUUUUCGCUUCAAUAUGUUCAUUCCAACCACACUCACAUAAUUUCCCAGCUGAUUUCUGACAAUUUUACCAUCAAGAAUAUCUGACAAUGGUUGAAUUUUAAGUGAUUUAUUUUAGAGGUUCUAAAAACCACAGAAUCAGAAAUUAUCCACAUAAAAGAUAUAUUUGACAAUGUAAAUGUUAGAAUUAUAGAUAGAUAGAUAGAUAUCUAUCUUUUCUGGGUAGUCUUGACACAAUACCAUAACAAGCCAAUAGCCAUUUUAUCCAUCAUAUCAAAUUGAAGUAAUUUAAAAUACCAGCAAACACAUUACUGUUAACAACCCCACAUAGACCAAGUUGUGAGACAAGUAAAUCAGGCACUCUCACAUGCCUCCAAUAAAAUAUACAGGAAAUUAGGAAAGAACCUGAAUGCUUGGCUGAACCGAGGUGCCAUGUGUCUGCAAAAGUAGGUCUACAACCAUACAAAGAAGGAAAAAAGAAAGCAUACAUAACCCCAUUUUCCAAAUUCUAAAAAAAAUAUGAAAAUAGAGAGAAAAAAGACUAAACCUAGGAUAAUUUUAGCAAUUAUUGACCAAGAAUAUUUUAUAAUUCAUAAGGCGAGACAUAAGAUAAAUGCGAUAAAAAGGAUAAAUAAUGUUCAUGACCUGAAUUGAAGUUUCUUUCUCAAGAUAAUCCUGCAAGAAACCACAUAAUCAGACUAAAUAAUCAAACAAACACAACAGAAGAGAGAACAGAAGAUAAAAGAGAAGAACGUUAACAAAGAAAGAACUAUAUAAAUUCUAAUUCAAACUGGAAAUCAAACAAAGAAAUAUUCAAACUGAAAAUUAAACAAAGAAAUAAUAACUAAAUAAAAGAUAAAAUCUUAAGAGCGUGAACCUUCAAUCAUACCUUAGAAGUGAAACUUGAUGAACGAUCUUUCUUAGGGCUUUUGUUUAAGAGAGAGAGGAUUUUGAAAACCCAGAUAGAGAGGCAUGAGCGAAAAAUGAAGAAAGGGGUUUCCUUUCUUCGUUUAUAUACACAGUUUGGUUUGCUUGAUAGAAAUGAA